This is a long non-coding RNA of Canis lupus familiaris (dog), 5236 nucleotides long. RefSeq lists it as uncharacterized. The record is from RefSeq and is a predicted model, not a curated record. The transcript is spliced from 2 exons. NCBI's taxonomy places the organism in Eukaryota, Metazoa, Chordata, Mammalia, Carnivora, Canidae.
GCGGAGGCGGCGCCGAGGACGUGGCCGGGCGCCCCGGGCGCCAGCCGGACCAAGGCCCCGCAAGGUUGUGAGGAUCCCAUGAGACAGAGACAGGGGAGAAGACUGUAUAAAUUAUGAAGCGCCUGCUGUAUGCACUUGAAAUAUUAUCAAGUGUAGGAAAAGCCCUUUGCUAUAAGGCUGCUGUUUUAUGAUUGAAAUUCCUAGUGACUCAUGUGGUGCCUGGCACAGACUACAUGCUCUGGGUGUUUCUGUUGACCUGAACCAUAUUGAAACCCUCUGCAUUAGCUAUAAGAAGGACGUGUGGGCCAAGCAUGGUGAGAAUUGGGCAAGGUAAAGAACAUCCUCAUCCUCUUGAGGCCUCUGGACAUGACACCAAGACGGCCCCCAGUUUGGGGGAUCCAGUAUGACGGCUUGGAGACCCUACUACUUCUGGCAUAGACACUUGAGAGCUGUGAAGGUUAAUCCCAGAGUCCAAGUCCAGGCUCUGUCUGCAGCCGUGCCCAGCCUGGCUAGGGUAAGGGUCUGGGGGUGCCCGAACCCCAGCCCAGCCCACAGAAGGUGACCUUCUCUCAGAAGAAUCCAGGCCACGUGGCUCCCAGACCUGCCGGUGCAGAGUCCACCUCAAGCCCGGCCCCUUGCCUCAUUCCCGAACACUGGCCUUGCCACUUUUGUCCUAAUGACAGAGAAUGAGGUCAGCUUGCUUUGCCACCCACAAAUCACAAUUUUUUAUUCCAGGCAAAGCCUUUCUGUAUCUGAGAUCGGCCCUUGUUAUCUACGGCAAGGUUAUGUUUUCACUGGCUUUGGGUGUUUGCACGUGUGGGAUGAAAAGGGAAGUGGCCCAAAGAGAAUGCGGGUGGGGCCACCCCAUUGCCUGGUUAGGGGCUCUCCAGGAGGACCUCGAAUCAGCUCUAAGCCAUAGGGUGGCAAAAACUUGUAUUCCUGUAUACACAUACACACGCAUGUACACACACACACACACAGGCAAGUGCGUGCACAUGCGCGCACACACACAUCCCAGGAUAUCCUCGUGUUGUUAACAUUUAACGUUCUAAUUUUAAAUUUUGAGGCACCAACUGGCUGUCUUAAGAGGCUCAUUCAGCCUGUCUGCCUUGGAGCUAUUUUAUUUACAAGUCUUUGCGUGGCGUCAAAGGGCUCUGUGUUUCUUGCAGACUGUGUUCGGGUGGUUGAGUGUUUUGGUUUUUGGCCACAGCUGGUUAGUUUUUCCAAAUCUGUAGAUCCAGGUGUGCGUUGAGAAGUUUUUUUUUUUUUUUCUUCCCCCAGCGAGAGAGGUUUCCCAGUGAGCCUCGGAGCCCUCCUAGAAGUUUCCGGCGUCCUACGUGUGAGAGACUGUCAAUUUGGGGGCUGUCGGUGUGCAGCAAGGAGGCGGCAGUGACUCCUCCUAGACAAGGAGAUGCAGAAGGGGCCACACUGGGAGGAGAAUCGCAUAGCAAAUUUAAAACACGGAGUUGAGAACCUGGUUAAUGCAAAGAUAUUAGCAAAGGCAUGAGCCCUUGGUUGUGGUGAAAAAUUGCUUCCUGGGAGCCUCGGGGAGAACCGAGCCUGUGCACGUCUCCCUUUAUUUUGAAAUAGAUUCUUAAAAUACAUGUUCCUCGUCUGAAAAUUACAUCAACUCUUAUUUUCAAGAUCAAUGCCACCCCUUACCUGAUUGCUUACAUUAUCACUUUCUUUUGGUUAAGAGGAAUGAACUUUGUGUCCUUUGAAUAUUAGGAAUUACACCAAAAGUUGCUCUAUAAAUAGCAAGAAACAAAACAGAACAAAAGCAUCAGCUUUCUUGUUGAGUAUUUUUCUUCACAGCCAUUAAAUAUUAUCUUGUCUUGAAGUGAUAAAUUUAGCUAAAACAUUUCUUUACUUUUGGUGGAAAGGGCACGUAUGAAAAAUCCAGCCUUAACCUUGUCUUUGUGGUAAUCAGAUCUAAAAGCUACGAUAUGUAGACACAUUCAGAAAAAAAUGAAACUGCUGUUAUGUAUGAAGCAAAUCACUUGACUAUGUGGGUGAAAUCAUAUUCGAUUUUAAGAAAAUAAAACGAGAGUAUUUCAGUAAGACCACCACACCACGGUCAGAUUUCAAACUGAACUUGAAAUUGUCUCCUCAAAAAUCCUUCAUUCUGCAUGUGAUCACUUUGCAGGCAGCUUGGGUUCUUUGCAAUCAUUUUAAAGAGCAGAUCUGUGAAAUCUUGAUUUUAAAAAGCGUUCCUGCUGUCCUUUGCAAUUUAACAAUGAACCUUUUGAGUUCUAAAUCAGGAUUUAUUUCUUUUCUUUUUUUCUUCUUCAUUCUAAGGGCUUAUAAUUUACCUAGCUCCCUGAGGAACUGUAUGGGUAAGAAAUGAUACCAAAGUUCUCAUUUCAUUUGUGGGGGAGAAAAAAAAAUUGAACUGACUUUCAGCAGUAUUUUUAAAAAUUUAAAAAUAAACAUUUGACAGUUUUUAAAGUUUAAAAUUGCUUUAAAUGUUAAAUAGCUAAAGUCUGCUUAGAUGUGAUUCAAAAAGACUACGUAAUUAUUGAAAUAAUAACGAUUUCAGGCUCCAUACAAAGGAUUGAUAAGAUGCAAAAAUAUUUCAAAUAAAAAAAAUUUCAAAUAAAUCAAGGCUUUUCAACUGUGAAAUGAAGGCAUUCCUUGAAUAUGGGGGGGAGAAAUUCUUUUCAGAUUUUCUGUCUUUUCAUUUUUGCAGAAAUAGGUAACUCUUUCACUGGAAACUUAAAUUCUAAAUUCCAAUCUGUUUUUAAUUGCUAAUAUAAAUUUGCUAUACGUGGCCACUAAAUUCUUUAGGAAAAUGUCCAUUUCCUAAUUAAUGAUGAUUCCAUUUUAGAGAUUGCAGAAUUGAACAACUGAAAUAAAUUCAGUGCUCACUUCUCUUUGAGAGUUAAUUUUGAUUUUUAAAAACCUUAUUUUGUUCUGUGCUUUUUGUCAUUCCUUGUAGAAUGCUGAGAACCUCACUUUGGCAUUUGGUAAUGCAUGUAUAACUAGAGGUAUUGGCCUGUCAUCCUUAAUUCAUUUCUUCUGAUUUGUGUUGUUACUACUUCAGUAUGAAAAAGAUUCAGUGCAAUUCCUCAUCUGUAAGAGGAAAUUUUUGAUACCAGCAUGUCAAUAUUAUAUAAGGCAUAGUCAUAUAUAUAUGUAUAUGUGAUCGAACACUAAUAUUUAUUGCAAACUUCUGGUUGUUUUACACUUUCCUUUUAUUUGAGAAAAAUUAACCUCUUACGAGUGCUUUCAGGGUUGUUAGACUUUUUUUUAAUAUACAUAGACAGGUAACACAUCAUGAAAGGUGAAUGUGUGGACUUCUAAAAUGACAAAAUAGCUGCUCACAGAUUCCUAAACAGACCUGUGAAUACAUGGGUAGGGAGUUACUACCCAUCGGUCAGGAGGGAGCAUGGGGCAUGCUACUGAUCAUCCUCAGGGCAGGCACACUAAGUCUGUUCCCUCUCUGUCUCUCUCUACACACACACACACACACGCGCGCACACACACACAUUUUUUAAAGGAAAGAUACAGAAAUGGUCUGCCGGCAUGCUGUUUUUUUUUUGUUUUGUUUUUGUUUUGUUUUGGUGGGGGAGGUGGCUGCUAAUGUAGAGGUCUGGCCUCUGCUUUCUUCCUCAAACAUGCUUGUCCUAUGGCCAGAGUUUUAUUUCAGUUGCUAGUGAACUAAUGUCAAGGUUAGACAUGAAAUGGGGUGAACUAAAGCAAAAGAUUUUUGAAAAUGCUUCAUUAUGUUGGCAAGAAGGAACCCUUUCCGGGGUGCUUGCUCGCAUUUACUUACCCAGCCCGAGACCCUAACUCGAUCUUUCCCUUGUUUUACCUGUAGUGACACUAGCAGGCUUCUUUCCCCCCUUGUCCCUUCCUCAACUUAGCUCCGCAAGAGGAAAAAGAAAAAAAAAAAAAAAAGCUUACCCAAAGGAAAUUGAUGCCAAUGGGUUUGUGCGCAAAUCACCGAGAGUACAAACGAAGCCUUCAUAAAGUAGGGGUGCAAGUUAUGACAAAAUAGGCAGAUCGAAAUGGAAUCCCACACCGGCAAACUACUUUGAGACAAAAGCAACAAGAACAACAACAACAAAAAGAAGAAGACGAAGAGGAGGAGGAGGAGGAGGAGGAGGAGGAGGAGAAAGAAGAAGAAGAAGAAGAAGAAGAAGAAGAAGAAGAAGAAGAAGAAGAAGAAGAAGAAGAAGAAGAAGAAGAAAAUAAAAAAGAAAAAAAUCAUAAGCCUGGUUUGCCUUUACACGCAGCACCCAGAGCCUCCUAGCAGCUCCUCAAAAGCACAUUGUGUGGGAUGACUGAGGAAGGGGCAUCUUACCCAGGAGCCGCCACGCUCUGACAAUCUCAAGCUCAUUGGGCCAGCUCUGCAAACAUCAUUAUUCUUGAGUGUGCAAGCUGAAUGAGUGUGCAAGUCGAACGUUCAAAACCCAAGUGAAAAUGUAAGUUUUCACUCACACGCAUCCUGCUUGCUUUAAUUAGAUUAAAUGCAUCUGUUUACUAAGUCCUUGGAAUGCCUUGGAUACUGACAUUUUUUAACUGUUACAAGCCGCUGAGCUGAGAAAUAGAGAUAGUAAACUGGAGUGUCCGCGGCCUUCCUAGGCUGGUCUGAGGCCGGAGGCUGAGCCGGGGACACGGGGGCUCAGGGGCAGAGCAGGAAGUCACCAACUGCAUUCCCAUCAGGCAGAUCUUGGGAUAAAUCAGGAAAAAAUAACUGUAUAAGGCUGAUACUGUAAACAUCCGGAUCUAUCAAGAGCCUUCCUAGGACUUAUUUUUUCGAGAUCUGACCUCAGGCGUGGUGUGGUCCGCAGGCACAAGCCCGAGUUCUUCCAGGAAAACUGUCCGCCGUAGCACUCACCAACAAAGUAAAUCUUCCAGGUUUCCUUUUCGAUAAUUUGAACACGCUUUUUAAUAUUAUUUACUCUGAAUAACGUAGUUUGAUAGCAAGUUGGAAAAAGACCUCGUAAAACCAACCUGCAUAAUGCCCAAUGGAAUUACCUGAGUGCUAUUAUUUUCCUUGAAUAAAGGAGAAUUUGAUUUCUGAAUUUGCAACCAAAUUAUAUGUAAAUGCUUGCCAAGUGUAGCGGGGGAUAAAAAAAAAAAGGUGUGUGUUCUCAAAUAUUGUUCUGACUCACCCAGUUCCUUGUUUUACCAAAUAAAAAUUGGGAGGAGGAAAGUGGCAUUAAAUUAACUUAUUACUGUGUGUGAGAGCAAGAAAAAAAAAAUCAGCUAAUAAAAAGGUUAGCAAGUC